RNAcentral lists this transfer RNA (76 nucleotides) under Candidatus Halobeggiatoa sp. HSG11. Its description in RNAcentral is "tRNA-Pro". It matches the Rfam family "tRNA". From Rfam's summary of the family: Transfer RNA (tRNA) molecules are approximately 80 nucleotides in length. Their secondary structure includes four short double-helical elements and three loops (D, anti-codon, and T loops). The record is from RNAcentral. RNAcentral also lists the same sequence under 1 other name. Lineage: Bacteria; Pseudomonadati; Pseudomonadota; Gammaproteobacteria; Thiotrichales; Thiotrichaceae.
CGGGGUGUAGCUCAGUCUGGCCAAGAGCAUUGCCUUCGGGAGGCAAGGGUCGGAGGUUCAAAUUCUUUCACCUCGA